GUUUGGCUUUGCAGAUGAUCUCCUUCUUUUUGGCAAAGUGACUUCAGAAGAACUUCAUGGUUUUAUGGCUGUUUUAGAAGAUUACUGCUCCAAAUAUGGGCAACUCAUCAUUCUUAAUAAAAUCAGAGUUCAAUACAGUCCUAAUGCCAUCUCAAACAUAAGAAGAAUGUUCUCUGAUCGGAGGAAAGAUCACCAAGACUAACAGUGAAGCAGUCAUGCAAAGAGUCAAUCCCAAGCUUCAACAUUGGGAGAGCAAAUUUUUAAGCUACGCUGGUGAACACUCUCUCAUUCACGCAGUCCUCUCCGCAUUGCCAGUCCAUCAUUAUAUGUCAUGCUUUAGACUCCCAAUUUCUAUUCUAAAGACUCUUGAUAGAGCAAGUUGCCGUUUCUUUUGGUCCAAUGACGAAUUUAAACAUAUUCCAACCAUCAGCUGGAAAACCAUCUGUCAAGAAAAAAGAAAUGGUGGUCUGAAUCUGAAAAUGUCUCUUUUUAUAAAUGAAGCUUUAUUGGCUAAAAGAUGCUGGUCUCUCCUGAAUCCCACUGUUUUCUUUUUGGGGGAGCAAAAUACUUCCCUUCUACCAAGUUCUUAGUUGCUCAAUGCUUAUCAAGGCGAUUCUUGGGGAUGGAAAUCCAUCACUGGGGUAAGAGACCUCCUAAAUAAAAAAAUCUAUUCAUUACAAGUGGGGGAUGGGUGCAGUAUUAAUCCAUGGUCUGAUUUUUAGAUACCUAAUCACUUAAUCCAUGGUCUGAUUUUUAGAUACCUAAUCACUCCCCCUCCUCAGCACCAUACCCUACUUAACCUGAUCCUCCUUCUCUUGUCUCUGACCUCAUUAACCCGAGGACUAGAUCCUAGAAUUUUGAGUUGAUUCUUCAAUGGUGACCACUUGAUGUAGCUCUCAAAAUAUUAUUUAUUCCAUUGUCCAUUCUACGACACGAAACAGGUUCCUUUGGCUUGGUUAAUUCUUUGUUUCAUUUGCAUAUCGCUUUGCUCUUGAUCCUUCUUAAACCAAGUUCAUUUUGCUUGGCAAAAAAAUUGGCAUUGCACUUCCAUCCCCAAAGCUCAGUUUCUAGCUUGGAAUUACUUAACGGAAAACUCCUUAUUCCAGUGAUCCUCAAUGCUAGAGGUCUCUCUCUCCCCAACAUCGGUUCCCACUGUCAUCAAACUGAAAGUUCCAUCGAUCACAUCUUCCUCCAAUGCGAUCUUCCUUCUCUAGUGUGGCAUUCUUCUGGAUUUGAAAAUGUCCUCGGAUGUAACAAUUUUCUCAUGAUUUAUCUCAAUAUAUUUCUGGAAGCGGAAACAUAGCAAGUGAAAAUGGUGUCCUUCACAUUCAUCUGAUUUUGGAUCCUAUGGCUUGUAUAUAAUGACUCCAUCUUCAACAACAACACCAGAUCAAUGAUCCAAUUUUUCAGAGAACUGUCACAAUCUCUUUGUAGCUUCCAAAACUCGCCACGUCAAAGGACUAUCUGGGUGUCUUGGAGUCCCGCACCUCAUGUAUUAAUCAAAAUCAAUCUUGAUUGUGCCUUCACCUUCUGUUUCUCUCAAGGCAUCGGGUUUGUGACAUCUGAUAUUGCUGAAGCUUCUGCGGUACUUCAAGGAAUGAAAUCUGCUCUCCAAUUAGGAUUUCUCCAUGUUAUGAUUUGAAAGUGAUAAUAUGAUUAUAAAUAUUCUCAAGAAGAGGACCACCAAUACCAUGGAGAAUAUUGCCUAUCAUCUUGGAUUGUUGGGAACUACAUCUUCAAUUCUAGACAAUUGAAUACAACCACUCUUUACGAGAAGGCAAUGGUAAACUUGCUUAGUGGGGAGCUACGCAUCAGCACAAUAUAGAAUGGACCACUUGUCCUCCUGCAUGUAUUUCUCAUCUUCUUUUUCAAGACUGUAGUGGAACUUUUCUCUCCUAUUUCUAUAAAUAAAAUCUCUGUGUUUUGGAAAAAAGAAAGACAAAAAUAAACAAAAAGGGCAAACUGUGACAAUAAACUGACACCAGCAGACAUCUACAGCUUUUUUCAACUUUGGCUUCUCUUGGUAGCUUCUUCCCUACAACACCAUUUCUAAGCAUUUUACAACUCAAUUGACAGUUAGAAGUUAAGAGGAACCCAAGAGAAGGCGUGGGCAUGCGGAUGCCGUCGUUCUUUACUGGUCAGUUGUGGAAAUGCUAACAAGAACUUGGAUUUGGUGGGGAUGUUGAAGGUUGUUUCAGAGAUUUUCGGUCGGUGGUGAUCUGUUUCUUCGGUUGAAACUAUGAAGUCAGUAACAUCUGUUUAGGCGGUAUCUUAGAGGGAGUGUAUCGGGGAAAGACUUGCCGCUUGCUGUUGCGGUUGUCGCUUCCUUCUUGUGUUCUUUGGCCUUCCUUCUGAGAUGAAUUCUUGGUCGUGCGAGCAUCGUCUUCGCUGAAGUGAUGGCGUCUUCUCGGGGCGAGUAGCUGUGUCUCUCAUUUACAUCCUCUAAGCCUUAAUGCUGGUUGUUGACAAGUUAAAUCAUGCAGUUCUCUCAGAUCAAACAUCCGGCUCAUUCUCUCCGGCAUAAGUAUCUACUGCCCGAUACUCUUUAUUUUUCGAUCAUCGAAAAUCAGAAUUUUAUGGUCCUUCUCAUUGACCAGGACUUGAUAACUCUGAAACUAUUUACUUGUGGAGAAGGCGUAUCAUCGAAGUGUACACACUGCUGCAGAGCUAAAGGACAUGGAAGCUCCAAUGAACAACUCUGAGGCUGUGGUGACUGGCCGGAAGCAGUCACUGGAGAAGCCAUGAUACUCUUAUCGCUUAACUAUCGAGGGAUUAGUCGUCCCUCGACGAAGCGGGAGCUCUGCUAUUUGGUGAAGAAUAAUAGACCUUUAGUGUGUUUUCUCUCUAAAACUAAGACAUCUAACCAGCACCUCCAUCGUUUUUGUCACUCUCUCCUUCAAUCAUUUUCUGUGCUCUCAUGUAACCCAAAAUGUUGGUGGUCUUCUUUUGAUGUGGGCUGAUAGUAUCCAGGUGAAAGCUGUUUGGCAAGGCCCUUGGUGUUUUCAUACAGAAAUAGCUUUCCCCAAUUUAAAUCUACAUUGGAAUGUGUCUUUUGUCUAUCUCAGUUGCUUGGAAAAUGUUAAAUCUUUACAAUGGCCUUCCCUUUUGCA
Molecule: long non-coding RNA, 3110 nt
Organism: Macadamia integrifolia
Lineage: Eukaryota; Viridiplantae; Streptophyta; Magnoliopsida; Proteales; Proteaceae
Exons: 2
Source: RefSeq, a predicted model, not a curated record